UGCAUGGGGAGGAGGGAGGAGAUGGGCCAAGUUCCCUCUGCCUGGAACGCCCUCCCCCCCUUCUUCACCUGGCG
RNAcentral lists this microRNA precursor (74 nucleotides) under Cavia porcellus (domestic guinea pig). Its description in RNAcentral is "mir-1249 microRNA precursor family". It matches the Rfam family "mir-1249 microRNA precursor family". The record is from Rfam by way of RNAcentral. Lineage: Eukaryota; Metazoa; Chordata; Mammalia; Rodentia; Caviidae.